GUGAAGGGAAAGUGUGGACCCAGGGGAACUGAUGUUCCCUUGGAGAGUUCAUCAAUGAGCUUGACGCCUUGAUAAGUUCCUUUCCUGAGGAUGGCUCACCUCUCACAGUUCUGGACCAUUUCCGGAGACCUUCUCCCCUACCUCACCUCGCUCAUCAACGCAUCCUUGACCGCUGGCUACGUCCCUUCCGUCUUCAAGAGAGCGAGAGUUGCACCCCUUCUGAAAAAAACCUACACUCGAUCCCUCCGAUGUCAACAACUACAGACCAGUAUCCUUUCUUUCCUUUCUCUCCAAAACUCUUGAACGCGCCG
Molecule: long non-coding RNA, 311 nt
Filed under: Salmo salar (Atlantic salmon)
Lineage: Eukaryota; Metazoa; Chordata; Actinopteri; Salmoniformes; Salmonidae
Description: lncRNA (ENSSSAG00000104860.1)
Source: RNAcentral